Molecule: long non-coding RNA, 939 nt
Filed under: Apteryx owenii (little spotted kiwi)
Lineage: Eukaryota; Metazoa; Chordata; Aves; Apterygiformes; Apterygidae
Description: lncRNA (ENSAOWG00000013724.1)
Source: RNAcentral
CCGGCACGGGAGCUCCCAGCAGCCUGUCAGGCUGCUUUUAGAGCUGAAGAAGCAAAUCCACUGUGUGGCAGCAGUUACAGGCACUUAUUCUGUGAUGAACCUGACACUUGGAUGUGAACCCCCCUCUGCCGGCACACACUUUCUAUGCUGGUUGGAGCACAGAGGCGGUUUGUUAGCAGAGGUGCUGGGGCAGAGGCUACGCAGCCUGCCGGCCGCUGAGCUGGAGAGACUUGCAGGAGCCCUCUGAGGCUGUUGAGUCGCUUUACAGCCUUCCUGUGGGUUGCCCGCUGCAGCCUCCCCUCGCAGCGCCACGCUGUAACACUUGCUGCGGCGAGAGCAGCCGGAGCUCCGACCGCUGCUUGGGUUUUUAUAGGAGUGCAUGUGUCUGCAGGAAGCAGCUGUCCUCGCCGGCCAAGGACGCGGGGAAUGGACUGCAGGAGAGACAAGCUUUACUCUUUCCCUUACUUCUCCACGCUUAGGCACAGCUUUACUCACUGCAGAUGCAGAAGAAACAUUCAGGAGAGGAAACGCACUGGUUCCGUUGUCAAAGCGCUGUGGGACUUUCCUCGCCGGUUGGAAAUACUGAAGCGCAGAUGAAUGAGGACCUCCAUGCAAGCGCGUUUUGGAAAAGCUGCUGUAUCCAAGCUUCUGUCUGCACAUACUGGUCCUGCAGUGAUUGCUGCCAGUAUGAUGAACUGCCAGCCAAAGCUGUUGAGCAGCAAGGAAAGUCCCAGUAUGAAAAACUGGAAGGUUGACCAUGGCGUGGCAACAGUGAACCUGACGCUGGGGGCAGUGCAGGAAUGCACAGUUAGUCACAUGAGAACAGAACACUUUUUCUCUUCAUCCCUUUUAGUUAUAGUAAUCUUUACUGUUACCUCCUUGAACAGCAGACAGGCUCUUGGAUUAAGUCCUGAGGACGUUAUCUGCAGCAGGACCUGA